This 402-nucleotide unclassified non-coding RNA is filed under the name Hevea brasiliensis (rubber tree). The record is from RNAcentral. Lineage: Eukaryota; Viridiplantae; Streptophyta; Magnoliopsida; Malpighiales; Euphorbiaceae.
AUUCUGCCCAACCAACUACUCGAGCUGAAGAUUUCAAUUUUAAAGGUCAAAAAGUGAAGAAACAAAGAAAUGCCUCGGACCCAAAAUCGCUUAAGCUGCGUAUCAAAGUUGGCCCUCAAAAUUUGUCGACCCAAAAGAAUGCGGAAAUCUACAGUGGGCUUGGGCUGGAUGUCUCUCCAUCAUCAUCGCUGGAUGGUAGCCCCAUCGAUAGUGAAGGGGUAUCCCGUGACCUUCAGGUUUCCCCAGAUGAGUCCCCUACUAGUAUACUUCAGAUUAUGACCUCACAUCCAAUGAGCGAUACCUUAUUGUUAUCCCCCCUCUCAGACGAGUUGAUUAGCUUGACCGAAAAUGAAAAGCAUUGGGGAAAAUGUGGAUAUGAAGGGAACAAAAAGGCAAUCCUUG